Vicia villosa (hairy vetch) is the source of this 770-nucleotide long non-coding RNA. RefSeq lists it as uncharacterized. The record is from RefSeq and is a predicted model, not a curated record. NCBI's taxonomy places the organism in Eukaryota, Viridiplantae, Streptophyta, Magnoliopsida, Fabales, Fabaceae. The transcript is spliced from 2 exons.
UCUGUAUUUACCUACGUGUAAUUUGGAUACUAACUAAAGUCUACUAUAUUUUAUAUUAUUUUUUAGCAGAUUUACUUUAAUGGAACACUCUUGUUCAGCAACAUAGAAAGAUCUUCGCGAAACCAAUUUGAUACAGCGAAAACAAUAACCUUAUGAUCAGCAUUUGACUCAAAACGACGCCGCAUCGCUGCAGAGCUUCACCACCUCAAAUCAAAUCCUUGCCAUGGCGAACUCGCAAGAGCAAGAUCGUCCAUGGUUCCUCUAUGCAAUGCCAUUGUUAGUCUUUGCUUUGAUCGCAUUUCAUCUCCUCGCCUUGGUGUAUUGGAUUUACAGAUUGUCGACUGAUACUAAGGUGCAACAGCAGCUGCUACAUCAACAGCUGCAGCUGCAACAACAGUCACAGAGGAGAAAAGCUCACUGAACAGAACGGUUAUGAAGUACUUCUUCGAUUUCGAUUUGUGUAAACAUUUUAAUUUUCCUCGUAUAAUUGUUGUUUUGAAAGGAAAAUAUGUGAAAUAGUGUGAGAUUUGCCUGGUGUUGUCAAAUAGCAUCUAUAGCACUAUAUGGAGUAGAAUUUAAACAAAUUGCUAUUUAUUCAUAGCACAUAAUUUGGCAUGAAGUUCUGUCAAAUGGCAACUAUAGUGUCACUAUAGCAGUAUUGUGUAAGAAAUCUAGUUUCUGGGAUGUGCGUUUGACAAUGUUGAAUAUGUGUUUUGGUCUUGGAUUUUGAGUGAAGAUGCAGUGUUAUGUGGGGUUUAUAAGUUGUUAAA